RNAcentral lists this ribosomal RNA (465 nucleotides) under Vreelandella stevensii. RNAcentral's name for it is "partial 16S ribosomal RNA". It matches the Rfam family "Bacterial small subunit ribosomal RNA", at positions 338 to 795 of the family's 1533-position model. The record is from RNAcentral. Lineage: Bacteria; Pseudomonadati; Pseudomonadota; Gammaproteobacteria; Oceanospirillales; Halomonadaceae.
CCUACGGGAGGCUGCAGUGGGGAAUAUUGGACAAUGGGGGCAACCCUGAUCCAGCCAUGCCGCGUGUGUGAAGAAGGCCCUCGGGUUGUAAAGCACUUUCAGUGAGGAAGAACGCCUGGUGGUUAAUACCCAUCAGGAAAGACAUCACUCACAGAAGAAGCACCGGCUAACUCCGUGCCAGCAGCCGCGGUAAUACGGAGGGUGCGAGCGUUAAUCGGAAUUACUGGGCGUAAAGCGCGCGUAGGUGGCUUGAUAAGCCGGUUGUGAAAGCCCCGGGCUCAACCUGGGAACGGCAUCCGGAACUGUCAAGCUAGAGUGCAGGAGAGGAAGGUAGAAUUCCCGGUGUAGCGGUGAAAUGCGUAGAGAUCGGGAGGAAUACCAGUGGCGAAGGCGGCCUUCUGGACUGACACUGACACUGAGGUGCGAAAGCGCGGGUAGCAAACAGGAUUAGAUACCCCGGUAGUC